AUGGCCAUGCCAUGCUGAAUAUACCGGUUCUCGUUAGAUCACGAAGUCAAGCAUCAUUUCAUUGGGCGCGGUCAGUACUUGGGUGGGUGACCACCUGAGAACAUAGCGUGCCGUU
This is a non-coding RNA of Caerostris extrusa, 115 nucleotides long. NCBI's taxonomy places the organism in Eukaryota, Metazoa, Arthropoda, Arachnida, Araneae, Araneidae. The record is from the annotation of a GenBank genome assembly.